GGUCAAGCGGUUAAGACACCGCCCUUUCACGGCGGUAACACGGGUUCGAUUCCCGUCGAGA
Molecule: transfer RNA, 61 nt
Filed under: Staphylococcus aureus
Lineage: Bacteria; Bacillati; Bacillota; Bacilli; Caryophanales; Staphylococcaceae
Also listed under: 1 other name
Description: tRNA-Glu
Rfam family: tRNA
About the family: Transfer RNA (tRNA) molecules are approximately 80 nucleotides in length.
Source: RNAcentral